CAAAUCUACAACUUUCUGCUGCCUAAACGACGCCGCCGCUGCCGCCAUAUCUACUUCUCAGAUAGAAGUUGUUCGAUUGACUAUGGGAGACAGCGAGAUGGUAGUUGCUGAAACAUCUACAGUCACAGAGUAUGCGACGGCUGGAUAUAAUUCUGCUGGUUAUGGUGAUACCAACUCUAAUAUUGUUCCUGAUUCUAGUAUUUAUGCCACUGAGGGUACUGGAGUUUUUGCUGCUUCUGCAGAUGCAGCUUAUAAUGUACCAGCUGCUCCUAAUUUUGCUGAUGAGAAAAUAUAUGGCACAGAUUCUAAUUCAGUCGUAC
Molecule: unclassified non-coding RNA, 320 nt
Filed under: Hevea brasiliensis (rubber tree)
Lineage: Eukaryota; Viridiplantae; Streptophyta; Magnoliopsida; Malpighiales; Euphorbiaceae
Source: RNAcentral